GCCCGAUGAACCUGAAUAUCCGUUAUGGAAAAUUCAUCAUUAUAAUUGUAAUAUUUAAAUAAUAUUAUAAUAAUAGUGUGCAUUUUUUCCAUAUAAGGACAUUGUAAUCUAUUAACAUAAACCCAAAUUUAUCAUAAAAUAUGACUUAUAGUUUAUUUAAAUUAUUUUGCUUGCAAUUUAACAUAAAAUAAAUGUCAUUAAUUUGAUAAAGUGUUGAUAGAUUUAUAUGAAUACAGUGCGUUAAUUUUUUUAAAAUUAUAUAAUAGCAUGAUUAUCAUUGAUUUUCUAUGUUUAUUAUAUGCACUUGUAUGAUUAACAAUGCGAAAGAUUCAGGAUACUUCGGG
RNAcentral lists this ribosomal RNA (344 nucleotides) under Drosophila neocordata. RNAcentral describes it as "eukaryotic LSU rRNA". The record is from RNAcentral. Lineage: Eukaryota; Metazoa; Arthropoda; Insecta; Diptera; Drosophilidae.